CACGAAACGACGUCGACGCUCGAACGAGGCUUCAAGAAACGACGGAGACGCCACGGGGGAGAAAGAAAUGGUUUCCAUCGGCAUUGAUGCGGAUCGAGUGCGCCGCCGCCGGCCCGCUUCUCCCGCAAUCUCGCUCGUGCACGCGGCCUCGGCUUCUCCCGCGCUCCCUCUUUUCCCCCGCGCGCUCGCCGGCGUCCUCCUCCCGUCCAAGCACCAAAUUCCAAGACCCAACAUUCUCCGAACCCAAUCCAUCUCAAAUCGACAUGAAUCCACCCCGGCCGCCGUCCUCAAGUUCCAGGCAAGCAAGGCAGAGUGAGGUAGGGGUGCUUCGGCCGCCGUCGCUGCCUGAUCUACUUCGGUCGAUGGCACUCGCGUCGCCCCUACCGAUGGAUCUAGUUCGGCCGCGCUUCCAAGUCUUCGAGCCACCGGAUUUCCUGCUUGGUGGACAAGUUCUCCGACAGGCUCCAAUGAAGGGAUUUACACACCAAGUGGUUUUACCAAUUUGAUCCAGCUAAACAGUAGUUUAGAAAAUUUCCAUUUAGUUGGCAAUAGAGAAGCACAGCUAGAAAUUCGCCAAGUACUCCAAUUUCUAGGGGAAUCCCACUAGAUGAAAGCAAUGCACAAGACAAAGAAACAAUCGAUGUUGAUGAGGAUGAACCCGUUGAAGAUGGUAGGACUGAGAGGUGAUUGAACUACUCCAAAGAUGAAAAUAUCAGAUUGGCUGCUGCUUAGAUAAAGAACUCAAAGGAUGGAACGGGUAGGAAGUCAGAUCAAUAUUGGACGAAUGUUACUAAAGAAUACAACAAAGGCACAGAGAUCUCCCGCAAGAGAAACAAGAAACCAGCUGAAAAUCUAUUGGGAUCGUAUUAAGAAGCCAGUGGGUGAAUUUCAUGGUUGUUGGGUAAGAACCAAUAGUGUAUACAAAAGUGGUUAUAGUGAUGACCAAUUGAUGGAAAUGGCUGAAAAGAUGUAUGCCUCUGAACAUAAAGAUAAAGAAUUCAUGCUGAAGCAUAUGUACCAUCUAUCAUUAACUUUAGUUAUUUUGUUAUCAACUAUGUAUGCUACCUAUUAUCUUUAUUCUUGGAUUGUUAUUGUUAUGUAUGGUUCUGGACUGCAGAAAUAGUAUAUAUAUAUUUUUUACUAGCA
Long non-coding RNA from Sorghum bicolor (sorghum), 1146 nucleotides. RefSeq lists it as uncharacterized. The transcript has 3 exons. Lineage: Eukaryota; Viridiplantae; Streptophyta; Magnoliopsida; Poales; Poaceae. The record is from RefSeq and is a predicted model, not a curated record.